GGUGGAUUGGCGAACAUAUGUAAAAGUCCACAUGCACAAACAGCAUAUCAAGGUAGUUUCUAAGUACUGAGGGGCUGUUUUGGUUCAUGAACAAUGAAGUAUCCAAACCAGGCUCUGCAAGCUCUGCAAUGCUUUCAGUACUUCACCUGACUCCAUGUCCUUCACCCGGAGGAACGGUAAUUGCUGCCUGUUUCUCUUCAAAGCAUUAGCCAGGGGUCUUUGUUGCUGUAACCUAGUGACUGGAGGCUGAGAAACAGAGAUGCAUCUUCUCUGCAUACUGUCUCAAGUCUAUCAGCACAGUCACAUGCCAGUACAGUAUACACACGGCAGACAACGUAUGGUGACAGGAGUACCAGCUCUCCCUCUGAGGCUGAUUCUAGUUUAUAGAUAAAAAGGCCUGCAUCAGCCUCUUUAGUUUGAAAUCUGCUGCAUCAGAGUCAAAUAAGCUCCACAUUGCCUCUUAAAGACUGAACGAUAAAUAGCAGCAAAAUGUACUUUGGUGAACGGAUUUCUUUCAGCAGGUGACUACAUAAACUAAAUCUUGGCACUAGAACUUCAAGUGAGUGAAGUAUUGUGGUUGAUGGUCUUAAAUCUUUCUUCUGCUAACGCUGUGCAGGAAAGACUGUGACUGAAAUAGGUAUAAUUAGUGAACCGUGAUUGAAUUCUCAUCAUCAAGAAGACAACAACUCUUUCACAGUUUCUACUUUGAUGUCAUCUCUCAUCUGUAAAGCUGUUCUACUCGAAACCACUUGAAGACAGGUCAUAGGACAACAAAGGGAUCCAGCGAACAGAUUGGAGGAGGCAGUGCAAGGGCUGAAUCCCGGAGCGCCAUCCAGAAGUUGGGCACAGAGCAGGGAGCCCUGCUGCAGGGCUGGGGAUUUGGCAAAUCAAAGGAAAAAAGGGUAAGAGUUUUUCUCUGCACCACACACACCUGUGAGAGAGACACAGCCAGUACCUUUAAAUGGUUCUAUAAUGUUAUGAUAAGCAUUUCCCAACUCCAUUAGCAUUUACCAGUUGUGACUAAAAUCUGGAUGGCUGAGAAUAAGUUUUUCCCCCCUCCCUCCUGGCCAGGAGAAUUUGAUACGUAAUCUAAAAUUCCACUACAAGCAUCCAAAUUUAAUAUGAGUUUCCAUUAUUAACAACAUUGAGCUUUUCCUCUCCUACAGGAUGAAAUUCAUCUGCCCCAGAGCCCCACCAAAUCCCAAAUUUGUUCACACAUUCAGUGCCAAGAAAACACAGAUUAUGGUUAAGAACUGGAAUAUAGCUUGCAAUGCCAUCAAAGCACCAAACUGAGCGCAGAAGCAUUAUAGCUUGAGACAAGGAUCCUGAUUCAAACAGUGUUAACACAGAGCUUCAAAAGUACACAUCUGCAAAAUCCAAAAUCCACAGCUGACCUUUGCUCACACCAAACCCAUCCUUUUCACUGAUCCACACAGAUGUUUCAUGGGAAAGGUCAUGGUAGAGGAACGAGGACAAAGCCAGUCUCUUAGGUCUCCAAAUUAAAAGAAAGGAGAAUUAACACUUAGUUUAAAAAAUAAAGAAUAUAAGCAAAUUUUUCCUACCUCUAGA
RNAcentral lists this long non-coding RNA (1569 nucleotides) under Numida meleagris (helmeted guineafowl). RNAcentral's name for it is "lncRNA (ENSNMEG00000011113.1)". The record is from RNAcentral. Lineage: Eukaryota; Metazoa; Chordata; Aves; Galliformes; Numididae.